AGGCCCGAGCGCGGGAGAAAGUGGAGCUGAGAUUGUAGGAAAUUCGGAGUUAUAUUUUCCAGCCUCUCGGGCCAGAAGUCUCAACUACGUCCUGGGAAACAUAUAUCAAAUGGAGUUGAAGAGAAAAAAGGAGGGAAUGAGCAAACAAGUGACUGGGGCUACAGGAAGUGAUGGAGACCUCAGAGAUCAUCUGGGAUGGCCCUCCUCCUCUGGGUGAGGAAAUAAACCCAGAGAAGGAUUUUCAUAAAACAGUGCUGUUUUUCCCUGUGAGAGGAUUAGAGAUAAAAUGCUGGUGUCGCCCUGGUCUAACUUCUGCAGUGGCAUCUUUCCCCACCUCAGCAUCUGCAGCAUCUGGUAAAGCAGCCUGCAGACAAGAAAGCAUCUCCUGCAGGGAAUGCAAUUUUUGACCCCCUUUGUAAAGAGGAUCUUAAAUAAAGCCAGGCCUUGUUAUGAGCCACCCAUUCAUUUUAAAAGAGCCUUUGCUGAUUUCACUUGGGGUCAUCUUUACAGUCAUUGGCAAACAAAUUGUAAUCUGCUGUGCUUUCCUUGUGGUUUCAGAGAGUCAUUUCUCUGUCUUUGACACUCUUCCCUUAAGAUUAUUUUCUCUGAGCCAGCCUGUCUAGCCCAGUCCUGAAUAUAAAUAGCUCCAAGUUUGUAUUUCUUGAGCGCGAAUGCCCUGCUAUUGCUGGGUUAUGUGAAACCCUUUCUUAUGUUGAACACAAGAAGCCCAUGAUUAUUGGUACCACAGAUUCUCACAUUCUUAAUCAGUUCCACCUGGCCAAUAAACAGUAAAGCCAGGACAGCUUCUCUUCUGUGUGGGUUUUCUACUUUAUGGGUAAUAAAACUGUCCUCAGUGUGAUUUAGGAAUCCCUUUGAUGCCUGCUAGUUUACUGUAUUGGUAUUUCAGGAGUGUUGGCAGUCACUGGUGAGACUUCACUACUGGCAUCCCAGAACUGAGACAGGGAGGUGGUUCGGCUCCAUCGUGGGCGAAACACAGCUGAUUUCUUUCAAACAUAGAGAAAGGAAAUAAGGAGGAAAGGAGCUGUGGGGGAAGGGAAAGAAGAAAAGGGACAAUGAAGAUGGAAUGUAAUUCAUUGCUAGAAGUCAACCUCCUUGCCUGCAAGUUAAAGAAAUGAAGCUGGGCUAAGUCUUAGCUUUUCUGUUUUGCAUUAGGUAGUAAGAAAACGUGCUCUCUGCAGAUUUCAGGACAGAGAAGAGUAUGAGGAACAUCCUCCCUCUCUCAGCCCUUUGCCAGCUCCAAGUUUACGGGCUUCCCCCACCCCCCACGCCCAGUGGGUGGUUUUGGUGAUGUGUUAAUAUUUCAUGGGGAGGUCAGUUGUGUUUAUGUUUUUAUUUUUAUUUUUUCUGACCAGUUCAUUAGGAUAUUUGAAGUGGGAAAGUCUACAUGGUGUAGGAGGUUAACUCCUAUCAGAUCAAAAGAGAAAAGAAACUGGGGCAUCCGCAAAUAGUGAAUGCUUUGUGAACUUGAGGAGCUCUUGGUGGUUGGCACUCCUUGUUUAAACUACUUCUUUUAACCACAUUAACCAAUAACCCUGGUAAAAACUUGGAACUCCUUUGGACUUGGAAGCAGUUUUGUUACAUAGUGCCCUUCCUUGUAUUAGCAUCACCUACUCUUGUCUUUAAUUAUUUGGGUCAUUUAUUCUACUUGAAUGGAAUGAAUGCCAUCAGCCUUAUCAUUACUAUCAUUAUCACAUUUUAAAGAUAAGUAAUCUUAAUUGGCUGCAGUUUAAAGAGUUUAGGGAAUGUUCGGUAAUAUAUAUGUAUAAGAGAGAACCCUCCUGUGAGUGCCUGGUGCCCAAGAGUUACUUAUCAAGUGGGUGAUAAUUGUUGGCAUAAUCUAUGUAUAUCUUUAAAGAUCCAAAUUUUCUCCUAAAAUACUUUCCCCCAAAUCAAUUAAUGUACCUUAAUUAAUGUAUUUUUUUAACUAUUGCUAUAGCUUUCUAAAAAUCUCAUUGUAAAGAUUUGUUAAUCCCUUUUGCAGAUGGUGAAAGAAUCAAGUGGAGACAGUGCAGUCUCUUGACAAUUAGCAGAAUGUGUGUGUGUGUAAGACUCUUUAACAAAUGCACUGAGCACCUAUUAUACAUGUGCCAAGAACUAUAAUAAAAGCUGGAACCACAAAAAUGUUUAAGGCAUAGACCCUAUCCUUGAGAAUUGUGUAGUGUAAUGGGGUGAUACAUUUUCAAAUAAAUAAUUAUAAUAGAAAGUGGUAGUACUAAAAUAGAAGCUAAUUUUGCCUGGGGGAGUUGAGAAAGACUCCCUGAAAAGGUACUUCUUGAAUUGAGUUUUGUGUGGUGAGCUUGGGUUUGGUAAGAGCAGGGCAGAGGAGAAUAUUCUGAAGGGAGCAAGUCUGACAAGGCAUGGAGGGUUGACGUACAUAAUCUGGGAAGAGCUGGAGUAUGGAAGAGAAGUCAAGAAUCAAGCAAUGGAAGUUCUUCUUUCUGCCUCAUUUUUACUUUUUUAAUUGCCCUGACAAAAGUUUAUGAGGGAGCAGGCUGACAGUUUAUGAGGGAUCAGUGUUCCACAAAUGUGGAUAAUUGAAAGUGUCAGAAAAUAGAUGAGUCAAAAAUACAACAACUUGACACCAAAAUGAUGGAAUCGCUAGCCAGUACCACAUGACCACAUAUUGAAUUCUUCCAGGAUUAUUAUAUCUGCUUAUAUGAAUUAUUUAUGCAUUUAUUAAUAAGGUGUACCUAGUCUUUUAAAAAGUAUUUGAAAUAAUAAUGAUUUUGAUAGGUGUCCAUAUUUAAUCAAAAUUAACAUAGUGAUAUCUUACAUUUAUACAAAAUCAACAUUUCUAGUUGGCCUGAAAGGAGAAAACAAUUUAGGCAUUGAAAAAAUUGGAUUCCAGUAAAUCCUAAAUGUGAAAGGAAACAACUUUGUGUCUUGGUUUUUGUCUACAUGAGUUAACAUUUAUAAUGUUUUGUCUCAUAUAUUUCUCCUGGAAAUAAAAUGCAUUCAAAUACUAAUAAAUUAGUGUGUCAUCCUAAUUGAAACUUGGUAAAUAAAAAAAAAAAUUGCUCAGU
RNAcentral lists this long non-coding RNA (3044 nucleotides) under Sus scrofa (pig). Its description in RNAcentral is "lncRNA (ENSSSCG00000050485.1)". The record is from RNAcentral. Lineage: Eukaryota; Metazoa; Chordata; Mammalia; Artiodactyla; Suidae.